AGAGUUUGAUCAUGGCUCAGGAUGAACGCUGGCGGCGUGCCUAAUACAUGCAAGUCGAACGAGGCCCUUUGUAUUCGUACGAAGGUGUCCUAGUGGCGAACGGGUGAGUAACGCGUAGGUGACCUACCCCGAAGAGGGGGACAACCCCGGGAAACCGGGGCUAAUACCCCAUGACCUCCAGGGAGUUAGAGGACCCUGGAGAAAAGGAUGCUAUGCAUUCGCUUUGGGAGGGGCCUGCGGCCCAUCAGCUAGUUGGUAAGGUAACGGCCUACCAAGGCUACGACGGGUAGGGGGCCUGAGAGGGUGGUCCCCCACACUGGCACUGAAACACGGGCCAGACACCUACGGGUGGCAGCAGUAGGGAAUAUUGCCCAAUGGACGAAAGUCUGAGGCAGCAACGCCGCGUGCGCGAUGAAGGCCUUCGGGUUGUAAAGCGCUUUUCUGGGGGAAGAGGAAGGACGGUACCCCAGGAAUAAGUCUCGGCUAACUACGUGCCAGCAGCCGCGGUAAAACGUAGGAGGCAAGCGUUAUCCGGAUUUACUGGGCGUAAAGCGCGUGUAGGCGGUUUGGUAAGUCGGACGUGAAAGCUCCCGGCUCAACUGGGAGAGGCCGUUCGAAACUACCAGACUAGAGGGCAAUAGAGGGAGGUGGAAUUCUGGGUGUAGCGGUGAAAUGCGUAGAUAUCCAGAGGAACACCAGUGGCGAAGGCGGCCUCCUGGAUUGUCCCUGACGCUCAGACGCGAAAGCUAGGGUAGCAAACGGGAUUAGAAACCCCGGUAGUCCUAGCCGUAAACGAUGCAGACUUGGUGUUGGUGGUUUAAUCGCCAUCAGUGCCGUAGCUAACGCGGUAAGUCUGCCGCCUGGGGACUACGGUCGCAAGGCUAAAACUCAAAUGAAUUGACGG
Molecule: ribosomal RNA, 904 nt
Filed under: uncultured bacterium
Lineage: Bacteria
Description: bacterial SSU rRNA
Rfam family: Bacterial small subunit ribosomal RNA
Source: RNAcentral